AAGCGGUGGAGCAUGUGGUUAAUUCGACGCAACGCGAAGAACCUUACCUGGGCUUGACAUCCCGAUCGCACCUUAUGGAAACAUAGGGGUCAGUUCGGCUGGAUCGGUGACAGGUGCUGCAUGGCUGUCGUCAGCUCGUGUCGUGAGAUGUUGGGUUAAGUCCCGCAACGAGCGCAACCCUUGUCCUUAGUUGCCAGCAUUCAGUUGGGCACUCUAAGGAGACUGCCGGUGUCAAACCAGAGGAAGGUGGGGAUGACGUCAAGUCCUCAUGGCCCUUAUGUCCAGGGCUACACACGCGCUACAAUGGCCGGUACAAAGGGGCGCAAGACCGCGAGGCGGAGCAAAUCCGAAAAAGCCGGUCUCAGUUCGGAUUGCAGGCUGCAAUUCGCCUGCAUGAAGUCGGAAUCGCUAGUAAUCGCAGGUCAGCAUACUGCGGUGAAUACGUUCCCGGGCCUU
This 456-nucleotide ribosomal RNA is filed under the name uncultured Geothermobacter sp. RNAcentral's name for it is "bacterial SSU rRNA". It matches the Rfam family "Bacterial small subunit ribosomal RNA", at positions 927 to 1382 of the family's 1533-position model. The record is from RNAcentral. Lineage: Bacteria; Pseudomonadati; Thermodesulfobacteriota; Desulfuromonadia; Desulfuromonadales; Geothermobacteraceae.